CCGAAACUAAGUGAGCUACUUUAAAAUAGCUAUAGAGCCAACCCGUCUCUGUUGCAAUAGAGUGGGACAAUUUUUAAGUAGAGGUGAUAAACCUACCGAACUUAGAGAUAGCUGGUUUUUUAAGAAAAGAUUUUUAGUUCAACCCUAAGUCUCCCAUUAUACAAAAACAAAACUAGUCUUAGGAGCUAUUCAAAUAAGGCACAGCUUAUUUGAAACAGGAUACAACCUAGAAUAAAGGGUAAGAUAAACUAAUUCUUUGACAAGUGGGCCUAAAAGCAGCCACCUUUUAAAAAGCGUCAAAGCUUAACAUCAACAAAAUCCUUAAUACCAUCAUCAACUUCUAACCCUCACACAAUAUUAAAAAACCCCAUAACAUUAUGGAAGUUAUUAUGCUAGAACAAGUAACAAGAAAAAGACUUUCUCCAAAAUGUAAGCUUAAGCCACAACAGACAAACUAGUGGCAAUUAACGUUUAUGAGCCCCUUAUAGCAACACUGACAAGAAAACCCUAUAUCCGCAACCGUUAACCUUACACUAGCACAU
Molecule: ribosomal RNA, 542 nt
Filed under: Boophis jaegeri
Lineage: Eukaryota; Metazoa; Chordata; Amphibia; Anura; Mantellidae
Description: partial 16S ribosomal RNA
Rfam family: Bacterial large subunit ribosomal RNA
Source: RNAcentral